AGAGUUUGAUCCUGGCUCAGGAUGAACGCUAGCGGCAGGCUUAAUACAUGCAAGUCGAGGGGUAGCAUGAUUGUAGCAAUACAAUUGAUGACGACCGGCAAACGGGUGCGGAACACGUACACAACCUUCCUACAAGUGGGGAAUAGCCCAGAGAAAUUUGGAUUAAUACCCCGUAACAUAGCGAUGUGGCAUCACAUUGCUAUUAUAGCUUCGGCGCUUGUUGAUGGGUGUGCGGCUGAUUAGAUAGUUGGCGGGGUAACGGCCCACCAAGUCUACGAUCAGUAGCUGAUGUGAGAGCAUGAUCAGCCACACGGGCACUGAGACACGGGCCCGACUCCUACGGGAGGCAGCAGUAAGGAAUAUUGGACAAUGGACGCAAGUCUGAUCCAGCCACGCCGCGUGAAGGAUUAAGGUCCUCUGGAUUGUAAACUUCUUUUAUAAGGGACGAAAAAAGGUCUUUCUAGAUCGUCUGACGGUACCUUAUGAAUAAGCACCGGCUAACUCCGUGCCAGCAGCCGCGGUAAUACGGAGGGUGCAAGCGUUAUCCGGAUUCACUGNGUUUAAAGGGUGCGUAGGCGGGCAGGUAAGUCAGUGGUGAAAUCCUAGAG
RNAcentral lists this ribosomal RNA (608 nucleotides) under uncultured freshwater bacterium. Its description in RNAcentral is "bacterial SSU rRNA". It matches the Rfam family "Bacterial small subunit ribosomal RNA", at positions 8 to 607 of the family's 1533-position model. The record is from RNAcentral.